CACCGCCUGGGGAGUACGACCGCAAGGUUAAAACUCAAAUGAAUUGACGGGGACCCGCACAAGUAGUGGAGCAUGUGGUUUAAUUCGAAGAUACGCGCAGAACCUUACCAACACUUGACAUGUUCGUCGCGACUUUAAGAGAUUAAAGUUUUCGGUUCGGCCGGACGAAACACAGGUGCUGCAUGGCUGUCGUCAGCUCGUGUCGUGAGAUGUUGGGUUAAGUCCCGCAACGAGCGCAACCCUCACUUUUAGUUGCCAUCAUUUAGUUGGGCACUCUGAAAGAACUGCCAGUGAUAAGCUGGAGGAAGGUGGGGAUGACGUCAAGUCCUCAUGGCCCUUACGUGUUGGGCUACACACGUGCUACAAUGGUAUCUACAACAGGAAGCGAAACAGCGAUGUUAAGCAAAUCCUUAAAAGAUACCUCAGUUCGGAUUGCACUCUGCAACUCGAGUGCAUGAAGCUGGAAUUACUAGUAAUCGUGGAUCAGCGUGCCACGGUGAAUGCGUUCCCGGGUCUUGUACACACCGCCCGUCACACCAUGGGAGUUGGUUCUACCUUAAGGCAAGGUUUAAUACCCUUGACCACGGUAUAGUCAGCGACUGGGGUGAAGUCGUAACAAGGUAGCCGUAGGGGAACCUGCGGCUGGAUUACCUCCUUUCUAAGGAUGAAUAAAAGUAAAAUUUUAUUCUAAAUAAUAUACAUAGGUUAAUGUUGACCGUCCUCAUUUCUCUUCUUAAUUAGUGUUUCUCUUGCAUGGGGGCCGGUAGCUCAGUUGGUUAGAGCACACCCUUGAUAAGGGUGGGGUCGAAAGUUCGAGUCUUUCUCGGCCCACCAAUUUAAGAUUAAGGGGGAUUAGCUCAGCUGGGAGAGCGCCUGAUUUGCAUUCAGGAGGUCAGCGGUUCGAUCCCGCUAUCCUCCACCAAACACUUAGUUAUAAAAAUCGUAAAUAAAAUAAUUAAUAUCAAUAUCUAUAUCCGAACAUUGGUAAUGUUAUUAGCUAAUGUUCAAAAUAAAAAUUUGAUUCAACACAGAAUUUUUUUCUG
This 1043-nucleotide small RNA is filed under the name uncultured Pelagibacterales bacterium. RNAcentral's name for it is "bacterial SSU rRNA". The stretch from base 1 to 658 matches the Rfam family "Bacterial small subunit ribosomal RNA", at positions 867 to 1533 of the family's 1533-position model. Lineage: Bacteria; Pseudomonadati; Pseudomonadota; Alphaproteobacteria; Candidatus Pelagibacterales. The record is from RNAcentral.